AUUGAACGCUGGCGGAAUGCUUUACACAUGCAAGUCGAACGGCAGCACGGGGCAACCUGGUGGCGAGUGGCGAACGGGUGAGUAAUACAUCGGAACGUGCCCAGUCGUGGGGGGAUAACGUAGCGAAAGUUACGCUAAUACCGCAUACGAUCUAUGGAUGAAAGCGGGGGAUCGCAAGACCUCGCGCGAUUGGAGCGGCCGAUGUCAGAUUAGGUAGUUGGUGGGGUAAAGGCCUACCAAGCCGACGAUCUGUAGCUGGUCUGAGAGGACGACCAGCCACACUGGGACUGAGACACGGCCCAGACUCCUACGGGAGGCAGCAGUGGGGAAUUUUGGACAAUGGGCGCAAGCCUGAUCCAGCCAUUCCGCGUGCAGGAUGAAGGCCU
This 386-nucleotide ribosomal RNA is filed under the name uncultured bacterium. RNAcentral's name for it is "bacterial SSU rRNA". It matches the Rfam family "Bacterial small subunit ribosomal RNA", at positions 30 to 417 of the family's 1533-position model. The record is from RNAcentral.